UGGGGAAUAUUGCACAAUGGGCGGAAGCCUGAUGCAGCGACGCCGCGUGGGGGAUGAAGGCCUUCGGGUUGUAAACUCCUUUCGACAGGGACGAAGCUUUUGUGACGGUACCUGUAUAAGAAGCACCGGCUAACUACGUGCCAGCAGCCGCGGUAAUACGUAGGGUGCGAGCGUUGUCCGGAAUUACUGGCCGUAAAGAGCUAGUAGGUGGUUUGUCGCGUCGUCUGUGAAAUUCCGGGGCUUAACUCCGGGCGUGCAGGCGAUACGGGCUGACUUGAGUGCUGUAGGGAAGGCUGGAAUUCCUGGUGUAGCGGUGAAAUGCGCAGAUAUCAGGAGGAACACCGAUGGCGAAGGCGGGUCUCUGGGCAGUAACUGACGCUGAGGAGCGAAAGCUUGGGUAGCGAACAGGAUUAGAUACCCUGGUAGUCCAUGCCGUAAACGGUGGGCGCUAGGUGUAGGGGGCUUCCACGUCUUCUGUGCCGUAGCUAACGCAUUANGCGCCCCNGCCUGGGAGUACGGCCGCAAGCUA
This 529-nucleotide ribosomal RNA is filed under the name uncultured bacterium. RNAcentral's name for it is "bacterial SSU rRNA". It matches the Rfam family "Bacterial small subunit ribosomal RNA", at positions 355 to 896 of the family's 1533-position model. The record is from RNAcentral.